GAGUUUGAUCUUGGCUCAGAUUGAACGCUGGCGGCAGGCCUAACACAUGCAAGUCGAGCGGAUGACGGGAGCUUGCUCCUUGAUUCAGCGGCGGACGGGUGAGUAAUGCCUAGGAAUCUGCCUGGUAGUGGGGGACAACGUUUCGAAAGGAACGCUAAUACCGCAUACGUCCUACGGGAGAAAGCAGGGGACCUUCGGGCCUUGCGCUAUCAGAUGAGCCUAGGUCGGAUUAGCUAGUUGGUGGGGUAAUGGCUCACCAAGGCGACGAUCCGUAACUGGUCUGAGAGGAUGAUCAGUCACACUGGAACUGAGACACGGUCCAGACUCCUACGGGAGGCAGCAGUGGGGAAUAUUGGACAAUGGGCGAAAGCCUGAUCCAGCCAUGCCGCGUGUGUGAAGAAGGUCUUCGGAUUGUAAAGCACUUUAAGUUGGGAGGAAGGGCAGUAAGUUAAUAACCUUGCUGUUUUGACGUUACCGACAGAAUAAGCACCGGCUAACUCUGUGCCAGCCGCCGACGG
RNAcentral lists this ribosomal RNA (518 nucleotides) under bacterium enrichment culture clone ALO1_GLFRUDD03HGHQE. Its description in RNAcentral is "bacterial SSU rRNA". It matches the Rfam family "Bacterial small subunit ribosomal RNA", at positions 9 to 520 of the family's 1533-position model. The record is from RNAcentral.